CAAAUUUUGGACUCCAAUUACUUUACGUCAAUUCCCGUCAACGCUUCAGCGUCACAGAUAGUGAACGACUGCUGUCAUAAGAAAGAUUUAUUGGCUAUCAACCUUUACUGAGACUUGAUGAUGCAAAGUUGUCAUGCAGACGACUGCAAUUGCUUUCACUCCAUGCUACGUAUAUGCACACCAGAAGACCAUAUAACUUACGGAUAUGACGCACAUCGCCAUCGACACUUGGCUAGCCAUUGCUCUUAAGCUGGAACGUAGAGAAGAGGAAAUCUAAACGCCGGAGAGGCCGUUGAUCAAUGACAAGGCGUUGCUCGUCAGCUGCACGGCCUUCACGAUCUCGCCUCUGAUGGUGCCUCGCACACCAACCUUCAUGCUGGCGGUGGUGGGAAGGCCUUCCAUGCAAGUGUUCUCGUCGGUCAACGCGGAGCUCACCCACGUCUGCAUGUCGUUGACGCGGAGCCGCAGGUCCUUGCCCUUGAGAUGCCCCAUCUCCUUGAGCGAGUCCCGGAGCUCCUCCACCGAGUUGCCCAUGUUCUCCAAGCAGUCGUUCAUGGCCUCCGCCUCCCUGGCGCCCACCCCGGCCCCGCUGCCUUUGAGCAGCUUGGUGAUGGUGGCGGCGGUAGUGCGCGCGCCGGUCAGGCUCACCGAGAGCGCCGCCUGAGCCAGUUGAACCGGGCUCCUCUGGAUCGUGGUCGCGUACGCUGACAGAGAGCUGAAGCAGAGGCUCGGGUACUGCGUCGCGCCGCAGGAAGAGCGGAUGAAGUUCAGGUUCUUCCCGCCGUAGGGUUCAGGUCUCGCCGCAGAACAAGUGCCGGCACUGACAGCCAAUGCUACAAGGAAGAUGAGAGCAACGAGAGAGCCGCUUCGGAAUGCCAUGGCUUCGUUGCAGAUGGAUC
RNAcentral lists this long non-coding RNA (899 nucleotides) under Musa acuminata (dwarf banana). RNAcentral describes it as "long non-coding RNA (MACU_LNC002158)". The record is from RNAcentral. Lineage: Eukaryota; Viridiplantae; Streptophyta; Magnoliopsida; Zingiberales; Musaceae.